CCUACGGGAGGCAGCAGUAGGGAAUUUUCGUCAAUGGGCGCAAGCCUGAACGAGCAAUGCCGCGUGAACGAGGAAGGUCUUCGGAUCGUAAAGUUCUGUUGAAGGGGAAAAAGAGCGGUGCGAGGAAAUGCUUUCUUAUUGAUAUUACCCUUCGAGGCAGUCACGGCUCACUCCGUGCCAGCAGCCGCGGUAAUACGUAGGUGGCGAGCGUUAUCCGGAUUGGUUGGGCGUAAAGGGGGCGUAGGCGGCCUGCUAAGUCUGGAGUGAAAGGUACCGGACCAACCGGUACAGGCUCUGGAAACUGGCGGGCUAGAGAGCAGGAGAGGUCGGUGGAACUCGAGGUGUAGCGGUAAAAUGCGUAGAUAUAUCGAAGAACACCGGUGGCGAAGGCGGCCGACUGGACUGUAACUGACGCUGAGGCACGAAAGCGUGGGGAGCAAAUAGGAUUAGAUACCCGUGUAGUC
Molecule: ribosomal RNA, 464 nt
Filed under: uncultured bacterium
Lineage: Bacteria
Description: partial 16S ribosomal RNA
Rfam family: Bacterial small subunit ribosomal RNA
Source: RNAcentral